This 492-nucleotide ribosomal RNA is filed under the name uncultured bacterium. Its description in RNAcentral is "partial 16S ribosomal RNA". It matches the Rfam family "Bacterial small subunit ribosomal RNA", at positions 29 to 507 of the family's 1533-position model. The record is from RNAcentral.
AGUGAACGCUGGCGGUAGGCCUAACACAUGCAAGUCGAACGGCAGCACAGUAAGAGCUUGCUCUUACGGGUGGCGAGUGGCGGACGGGUGAGGAAUACAUCGGAAUCUACUUUUUCGUGGGGGAUAGCGUAGGGAAACUUACGCUAAUACCGCAUACGACCUACGGGUGAAAGCAGGGGAUCUUCGGACCUUGCGCGAUUGAAUGAGCCGAUGUCGGAUUAGCUAGUUGGCGGGGUAAAGGCCCACCAAGGCGACGAUCCGUAGCUGGUCUGAGAGGAUGAUCAGCCACACUGGAACGGAGACACGGUCCAGACUCCUACGGGAGGCAGCAGUGGGGAAUAUUGGACAAUGGGCGCAAGCCUGAUCCAGCCAGACCGCGUGGGUGAAGAAGACCUUCGGGUUGUAAAGCCCUUUUGUUGGGAAAGAAAAGCAGCAGGUUAAUACCCCGCUGUUCUGACGGUACCCAAAGAAUAAGCACCGGCUAACUUCGUG